RNAcentral lists this ribosomal RNA (482 nucleotides) under uncultured Flavobacteriaceae bacterium. RNAcentral describes it as "bacterial SSU rRNA". It matches the Rfam family "Bacterial small subunit ribosomal RNA", at positions 28 to 505 of the family's 1533-position model. The record is from RNAcentral. Lineage: Bacteria; Pseudomonadati; Bacteroidota; Flavobacteriia; Flavobacteriales; Flavobacteriaceae.
GAUGAACGCUAGCGGCAGGCCUAACACAUGCAAGUCGAGGGGUAACAGGAGGUGCUUGCACCUUGCUGACGACCGGCGCACGGGUGCGCAACGCGUAUAGAACCUACCUCUUACUGAGGAAUAGCCCAGAGAAAUUUGGAUUAAUGCCUCAUGGUAUAUUAGAUUGGCAUCAAUUUAAUAUUAAAGGUUACGGUAAGAGAUGGCUAUGCGUCCCAUUAGUUAGUUGGUAAGGUAACGGCUUACCAAGGCAUCGAUGGGUAGGGGCCCUGAGAGGGGGAUCCCCCACACUGGUACUGAGACACGGACCAGACUCCUACGGGAGGCAGCAGUGAGGAAUAUUGGACAAUGGGCGAGAGCCUGAUCCAGCCAUGCCGCGUGCAGGAAGACUGCCCUAUGGGUUGUAAACUGCUUUUAUACGGGAAGAAAAAAGGGUACGUGUACCCUACUGACGGUACCGUAAGAAUAAGGACCGGCUAACUCCG